This is an RNA transcript of Lagenorhynchus albirostris (white-beaked dolphin), 3752 nucleotides long. It is a transcript of the gene named nuclear receptor binding factor 2, with no coding region annotated. The transcript has 8 exons. The record is from RefSeq and is a predicted model, not a curated record. Lineage: Eukaryota; Metazoa; Chordata; Mammalia; Artiodactyla; Delphinidae.
GGCGCGGGGGGCGGGCCCGCGGCGCCGCGCCGGAGGAGGAAGUGGUGCGGUUGUUGCUCCCUCUGCGCCCGCCGCUGGCUCCCGGGGCGCGGAGUGGGGCCACAGUUGCCGCCGCUGCGUCGAGCUCGCCAGCUGUUACCCUCCAUGUGCCCGGGCUCCGUCGCUCCCCUUCCUCAGGCCGCCGCUUACCCCGGGGUCUAUGGAAGUAAUGGAAGGACCCCUCAACCUGGCUCAUCAACAGAGCAGACGAGCAGAUCGUUUAGUAGCUGCAGGGAAAUACGAAGAGGCUAUUUCUUGUCACAAAAAGGCUGCAGCGUAUCUUUCUGAAGCUAUGAAGCUGACACAGUCUGAGCAGGCUCAUUUAUCACUGGAACUGCAAAGGGAUAGUCACAUGAAACAGCUUCUCCUCAUCCAGGAGAGAUGGAAGAGGGCAAAGCGGGAGGAAAGAUUGAAAGCCCAGCAGAGCACAGACAAGGAUGCCGCUGCCCAGCUACAGGCAUCUCACAGACCCUCUGCUGAGGACGCAGACAGCCAGAGCCCCCUACUCUCUCAGAAUUAUAGCCCUUCCACAGAGAAACACUUGCCUGAAAUUCAGGGGGUCUUUGACAGGGAUCCAGACACACUACUAUUUUUACUUCAGCAGAAGAGCGAGCCAACAGAGCUGUGCAUUGGAAGCAAAGCCCCAAAAGAUGAUAAAACAAUUAUAGAGGAGCAGGCAACCAAAAUUGCAGAUUUGAAGAGGCAUGUGGAAUUCCUUGUGGCUGAGAAUGAAAGAUUAAGGAGAGAAAAUAAACAGCUAAAGGCUGAAAAGGCCAGACUUCUAAAAGGCCCGAUAGAAAAGGAGCUUGAUGUAGAUGCUGAUUUUGUAGAAAAGUCAGAGUUAUGGAGCUUGCCACCACAUGCAGAAACUGCUACAGCCUCUUCAACCUGGCAGAGGUUUGCAUCAAAUACUGGGAAAGCCAAGGAUAUUCCAAUACCCAAUCUUCCUCCCUUGGAUUUUCCAUCUCCAGAACUUCCCCUCAUGGAACUCUCUGAAGAUAUUCUGAAAGGACUUAUGAAUAAUUAAAAUGGAAGGCCAUAGAAGAGGUGAAAAAGAGGAAAUAAUACGGUAAUACAGUUAAUCCAGCAAAAAAAAAAAAAAGGGAAAACCACAUGCAAGGGUGUCCCGGAGAUGCUGAAUCCAGCAUCCUGCGGAGAAGAGGCAUUGACAAGACUCGGAAACAGUCACUGUGAAGUAUAUCGCGCAUCGGAUUUACUGACUCGAGCUAAUGAUUCCAGACUUGGCAGAUACUAAACUCUUGGAGGUUCACUUUCUCCUGAUACAAACCAAAUGGCUACCUGGAAUAAUUUUUUUCAAGCAACAAUUAUUUUUCUUCAGGGUUAAAAUGUAUAAAAUUGGAAGCCUGUCCUUCUAAGAGUCACCGCAGACCAACAGUGCCAUCUAGUGGACGAUAACCCUCCUUCCACCACUUCACAAUAUCUCAGUCACAAGCUGCAACCCUUCGGACGCCCACUUCCAAAGCAGACCUCCAGUCUUCGUCAAGGUUGUUGAUUCCUGUGGAGGAUGAACAUAGUGGAUGCCUCACAUUUUCAGCACUGCUGUACAGUCUCAUUGGAUCUUCAUUAUGUGUCUGUAGAACAGAUGCUCUAUUUCACAGAGCAGGAAACUAUGGAUAAGCAGUUCAGCGCCUGUUCCAAGAUAAAUCAGCCAAUAAAUGGCAAGUCAACAGGAACCCAGCUCCUGUGAUAUCUUGUCUAACAGAUGCUUUACAGUCCUACAUGAACGCAGUCAUACCAGCAUACACAGGCUCCAAAUGCCCUGUCUCACCUUACAUUCAUCUGAACAUGCUGUGGGGAUUAAGUCCUUCUGAAGUUCUAGCAUGUAACUUUUAGCAUAUGUAACUAUUUUUUAAAAAAUAAUUUCACUGAUAUUCUAAUUGCAUUCAAACAUCAUUUGCCUGGUUUUAUUUCUUUUUUCCAUAGUCCUUUAGCCCUUUGAGCAUAUUUAAGGUAACUGACUUAGAAGUCUAUCUAGUAAGUCUGAUGUCUGGCCUUCCUCAGGGACAGUUUCUGUUGAGGUAUUUUUUCCCUAUGAAUGGGCCCUACUUUCCUGUUUCUGUGUAUGCUUUGUGACUUUUUGUUGGAAACUGGACAUCUAAACAUUAUCCUGUGGUAACUAGAAUCAGGUUCUCCCCUGCCUCACAGUCUGCUGCUGUUGAUUGAUAGGGACUGUAGUCAUCCAUUUGUUUUGUGACCUUUCCAAACUAAUUUUGCAAAGACUAUUCCUCCUCUGGCGUGCUCACUGAUGUCUCUGUUCGGUUAUCUCAGGUGGUCAGCCAGUGACUUGUCAGAGAUUUCCUUGAAGGCCAAAACUCAGAUGUCCUCUUCUUCAUUAAGCAGUCCGCUGGUCCAUGUAAGUUCUGAAUUAGAUUCCAGAGCUCUGAAAAAGUUGAUUCUUAUGGUUGUUUUAAAAUCACUUUUAGAACAGUGACUUUCAUUAGUGGUUACAAGAUGUUAUUUUGUUUCCUAAUGACCUCAACUUGAUAUAGACUGCUUAAAGACUUAAGGGUUAGUUUGAAAAGGCAAGGUUCAGUUUUAAGGUGAAACAUAUCUGAACUUCCCAUUCCACUUACCCCUUUUUGUGCCAUCUUUGAGUCAUUUACUUUUCACUUCCUUGGCAGACUGUCUUAUUCAUACUUGCCUUCAAGAUCAGUUGUAAUCAUAUAUAGGUAAUGUUAAGAAAAUGUAACUUUUGUUUUCAGAGUAGGAAAGUUAUUAUCUUGACACUGUGAUUUUGUCUGAGUCCUUUUAGUCAUAAGAAUGUAGAGAAUUUACAACUUAGCAAUAUUAUUAACUUACUUUGAAUGACCAAAUACAAUCAGUUAAGUAGUUGAGGACAAAAUUAUCAGUAAAGAUUUUGUUAAUUUAAAAAAACUGUUGCUGUUUAAAACUGAAAGCUACUCUAAACCUCAGGACACUAGAGCUGAGAAAGUGAAUCCUGGAGGUCAAGAUUCACCUGCUUUAUCUAAGGGUAUACACAGGGUUUCACAGACUCAGCCACAUUUGCCAACAGAAGAUUUUUAAGCCUGCAGUUCUAGAGUAGUUCUUAGAAAAUAAAGAGGGCUGUGGCUAUGAUAUUGUCCCUCAACUUGCCUAGAUAUACAUCUGAAUGCCGCUGCACAGAGUUGUCCCGUGGCCGUCUCUCCUCCCGCCCCAGGCUUCUCGAAGUGCUCACUGCUGACAAAUCAAAGAAAGUAACAAGUGUGUUAGAAGCAACCUUUUAUAUACCUGAUGAAGUGCUCCUGCUGGUAAGACGAUGGCAUCACCAAGGAACUGAAUAAGAGUGCAGGCUUUGACUCCAUAUUCCUCAAGCAGUCUUUGGCGAAGCUUUUUGUUCACAUACCAACUCUGGUCACGAAUUGGAUCAUGUUCUGGUAGAACUUCAAGGCCUUGUUCUUUUGAAAUCUGAGAUAUAGAUUAAAAUGAAAAUAUAUACCCCAAUUUAAGUAAAGAAAAUGGUAAAUCCUGUUCCGUUAAAUUUCAGUUUUCUUUACAAUAACAGUCUGUUCUCAGAAUCUUCUGAAACGAUGACUGAGCUUAAGUUAAAGAAAAUGAUAUUCUACAAUUGGAAAAGCCAAAGGACAUGAAAACAAUAUUGCACACUGAUACGCUAUUAAUAAAGUAAAUCAUACUCCCUUACCUUCUUCCACUAUGAAGUUCUCUUUUAAAAAAAAUAGUUUUAUUAACUAUUA